RNAcentral lists this ribosomal RNA (301 nucleotides) under uncultured bacterium. Its description in RNAcentral is "partial 16S ribosomal RNA". It matches the Rfam family "Bacterial small subunit ribosomal RNA", at positions 509 to 807 of the family's 1533-position model. The record is from RNAcentral.
CAGCCGCCGCGGUAAUACGGAGGGAGCUAGCGUUGUUCGGAAUUACUGGGCGUAAAGCGCACGUAGGCGGUUAUUCAAGUCAGAGGUGAAAGCCCGGGGCUCAACCCCGGAACUGCCUUUGAAACUAGAUGACUGGAAUCUUGGAGAGGUCAGUGGAAUUCCGAGUGUAGAGGUGAAAUUCGUAGAUAUUCGGAAGAACACCAGUGGCGAAGGCGACUGACUGGACACGUAUUGACGCUGAGGUGCGAAAGCGUGGGGGGCAAACAGGAUUAGAUACCCCUGUAGUCCCUGUCUCUUAUAC